CUCGUGAAUUGUCAGCCUCCCUCCGGGCAUCACUGUGGAGAGUGACAUCAUGGAAAUUCAUUCCCAGGCGCAGCUGCUAUUCUGGUCAGAUGGAAGAACAUCCUGAGAGUGAUGAGCUGAGCAGAGCAGAAAUCUGAACAUGUCUGAGAAUGUUUGUCGGGAAAGACUUUGGUUCUGGUUGUGGAAGCAGUUCAAACUGUAAUUAAUACACUUUCAGUUUAAAGUUUACUAGUUAUGUAUUUUGCAGAUGUGCUUUUGACUGUUAUAUCUGUUUAACUCUUAAUUUUAAAGAGGCAGUGUUGUUUAUAUAGUUGUGUUUAACAAGAUUUGAUUGAACACCACUCGAUAAUCUAAAACGUCCUAAAGACGUCUAAAUUGAGCUGAACAAUUUUUUAUGUUUAUUCUUUAUAAUGCACUCUAAUAAACAAUUGUGUUCAAUAAGA
Molecule: long non-coding RNA, 443 nt
Organism: Stegastes partitus (bicolor damselfish)
Lineage: Eukaryota; Metazoa; Chordata; Actinopteri; Pomacentridae
Exons: 2
Source: RefSeq, a predicted model, not a curated record